AGUCGAAAAGGUCUCCGUAGGUGAACCUGCGGAGGGAUAUUACCGAGUGAAGGGCGCUCCGGCGCCCGACCUCCCAACCCUUUGACGAAUCCAAACCUCUGUCUGCCUCGGGGGCGACCGUCCGCGGUCCCCCCGGCGGCGAAUUACCAAAACCCUGCAUCAAUUGUCGUCGGAUAUUGAAGCGAAUUCAAUUAAAACUUUCAACAACGGAUCUCUUGGUUCUGGCAUCGAUGAAGAACGCAGCGAAAUGCGAUAAGUAAUGUGAAUUGCAGAAUUCAGUGAAUCAUCGAAUCUUUGAACGCACAUUGCGCCCCCUGGCAUUCCGGGGGGCAUGCCUGUUCGAGCGUCAUUACACCAAUCACGCCUGGCGUGGUAUUGGGCGACGGGGCCCGUCACACGCCCCGCGCCCCAAUGACUCCCCGGCGGGACGGACCGUAUCUCAGCGUUGUGGCACAGCGCCUCAAGCUAUUUAAUACAGGCAACCAUGAAGAAUUAUCACUCUUUUGACCUCGGAUCAGGUAGGGAUACCCGCUGAACUUAAGCAUUCAAUAAGCGGAGGAAAAGAAACCAA
RNAcentral lists this ribosomal RNA (571 nucleotides) under Mycosphaerella sp. 2 SAP133. Its description in RNAcentral is "eukaryotic LSU rRNA". The stretch from base 196 to 349 matches the Rfam family "5.8S ribosomal RNA". Lineage: Eukaryota; Fungi; Ascomycota; Dothideomycetes; Mycosphaerellales; Mycosphaerellaceae. The record is from RNAcentral.